RNAcentral lists this transfer RNA (69 nucleotides) under Ictidomys tridecemlineatus (thirteen-lined ground squirrel). RNAcentral describes it as "Spermophilus tridecemlineatus (thirteen-lined ground squirrel) tRNA". It matches the Rfam family "tRNA". Rfam says of the family: Transfer RNA (tRNA) molecules are approximately 80 nucleotides in length. Their secondary structure includes four short double-helical elements and three loops (D, anti-codon, and T loops). The record is from Rfam by way of RNAcentral. Lineage: Eukaryota; Metazoa; Chordata; Mammalia; Rodentia; Sciuridae.
GGGGUUGUGGCUCAGUGGUAGAGUGCUCGCCUAGAACACGUGAGGCACUGGGUUCGAUCCUCAGCGCCA